AAAUUGAAGAGUUUGAUCAUGGCUCAGAUUGAACGCUGGCGGCAGGCCUAACACAUGCAAGUCGAACGGUAACAGGAAGCAGCUUGCUGCUUUGCUGACAAGUGGCGGACGGGUGAGUAAUGUCUGGGAAACUGCCUGAUGGAGGGGGAUAACUACUGGAAACGGUAGCUAAUACCGCAUAACGUCGCAAGACCAAAGAGGGGGACCUUCGGGCCUCUUGCCAUUGGAUGUGCCCAGAUGGGAUUAGCUAGUAGGUGGGGUAACGGCU
Molecule: ribosomal RNA, 268 nt
Filed under: Escherichia coli
Lineage: Bacteria; Pseudomonadati; Pseudomonadota; Gammaproteobacteria; Enterobacterales; Enterobacteriaceae
Description: partial 16S ribosomal RNA
Rfam family: Bacterial small subunit ribosomal RNA
Source: RNAcentral